UUAGUCUUUAUGCAUAUGUAUUAUUUAAGUAUACCUCAGUUUUUUAGCUUUAAUUAUUUGAGAAAAAGGUACUUUAUUAUUUUCCUAGAAAGAUGAUAUUUUAUUUUAAUAGUUUUACAUGAAAUUAUAUAUAUUCCAAUAUUAUAUUUUUUCUAAGAUAAGAAAAUUGUAAAAUAUGAUAGUCUACCCUACAAAGUAUAAGCUUUUUUGUUACCCCCACCAUACAUUCUCUUUAUUUAAAGGGUACGCUAUUAUAUUACAAUAGUAUUAUUAUAUUAAGGUUGUAUAAUUGAUAUUUUUGUAAAGAAAACCAUAUAUAUUAUUUUUUGUUAAUGGAAGGAUCCAUUUAAGUUCUGAAAAUUAUGCAUGUAUAGAUUAAGAAGGACUGUAUAAGUGUAAUAUAUGUGAUCUGAGUAGACUUUAAAAUUCAAAGUAUAUACAGUGCUAAAUCCUGAAAACAUAGCUAUAAUCAUAGAGAGAGAGAUCGAGAUCAGAGAGGAGUGCCAUACAGCAGCCUGAAAGAGUAUUUGAUUAUCGUGAAAUAUCUGAGCUCGAGGCUGGCACAUGGCACAUGGCUCUUGAAUAACAUCCGAUGUGUCUCUCUUGUUUAUAAGAAUUUAAAACCCAUUCAAAGAUUGUGAUUUAUGCGUCCCUGGGGCUGUGAACCAGAAUGAAAGAGCCCAGGACAUUGAUGAAGACAAGGAAAGAAGACACCUGAGAAGAACCAGAAGAAUAAAAGUGACAGGUUGGAAUACAACCAUUUGGGACAUUUAUUUUUGUAGAUGAAAGUUUAUUUUACUGUAGAAUGUGUAAUGAUCUUCAACUCAAUAUAUCAACAACAAGUGUAAACUUAUUAAGUGGUUUGAUAUUAUCCCCUUCUCUCAGUUACCUCUAAGGCUGAAAUUAGAUCAUAAGUAACCUGUAUGAAUAUAUAUAUUUUAGUGUGGGUUCUAAAGAGUACUUUUGGAGAAACCACACACUUGUAAUAACAGAUAGUGCCCCUCUGGAUAAAGUCUGAGUGGUUCCCAGAGCAAAGAGUAGUAAUAAGGUCUUUGCUAAGGAGCAUAGAAAAGGGAGGGCGCAAUAUAUUGGUGGCAGCGAGUGUGGGAUAUGAUCAAAUUGAUUUCAGCCUAAUGUACUGAGAGAAGAGAGAUUGAAUAAUACUGUUUACAUUUUUUUUUGAAGUUGUAGUUAUUUUGUGAUUUUCAAAAUGAGUUCAGAGAAUCUGCAUGCAGAUGAAUCAAGUGUAGAUAAGAAGGAACGUGAGAAAGAUUCUGAUGUAGAAAUGCAUGCCUUGCAAAAUGAAAUGACUGAAUUAACUAUAAAUCUAAACAAAAUGUAUAUUGCUAUGGCAGAACUAAGAGAGGACAGAGAUAA
Long non-coding RNA from Penaeus indicus, 1377 nucleotides. RefSeq lists it as uncharacterized. The record is from RefSeq and is a predicted model, not a curated record. The transcript is spliced from 3 exons. Lineage: Eukaryota; Metazoa; Arthropoda; Malacostraca; Decapoda; Penaeidae.